Molecule: unclassified non-coding RNA, 254 nt
Filed under: uncultured Patescibacteria group bacterium
Lineage: Bacteria
Description: contains 16S-23S intergenic spacer region
Rfam family: Bacterial small subunit ribosomal RNA
Source: RNAcentral
UACGUAGGAUCCAAGCGUUAUCCGGAAUUACUGGGCGUAAAGAGUUGCGUAGGUGGUCUUUUAAGUAGAACGUGAAAGCGUACGGCUCAACCGUAUACACAUUUUCUAAACUGAAAGACUAGAGGGCGAGAGAGGUUACUAGAAUUUCUUGUGUAGGAGUGAAAUCCGUAGAUAUAAGAAGGAAUACCGAUGGCGUAGGCAGGUAACUGGCUCGCACCUGACACUGAGGCACGAAAGCAUGGGUAGCAAACGGG